Molecule: ribosomal RNA, 494 nt
Filed under: uncultured bacterium
Lineage: Bacteria
Description: partial 16S ribosomal RNA
Rfam family: Bacterial small subunit ribosomal RNA
Source: RNAcentral
GACGAACGCUGGCGGCGUGCUUAACACAUGCAAGUCGAACGGUGAAACGCCGUCCUUUUUGGUGGGAGUGGAUGAGUGGCGAACGGGUUAGUAACACGUGAGUAACCUGCCCCCUUCUGCUGGAUAACCGCAUGAAAGAGUGGCUAAUACGGGAUAUUCUGAGUCUGUCGCAUGAUUGGUCUGAGAAAGAUAUGGUUUCGGUUAGGGAUGGGCUCGCGGCCUAUCAGCUUGUUGGUAGGGUGAUGGCCUACCAAGGCGAUGACGAGUAGCCGGCCUGAGAGGGUGGACGGCACCACAGGGACUGAGAGACGGCGACGCCUACGACGGGAGGCAGUAGUGAGGAAUCUUGCACAAUGGGAGGAAGGCUGAUGCAGCGCCGCCGCGUGAGUGAUGGACGCCUUCGGGUUGUGAACCUUUUUCGCGAGUGAAGCAGGCCGGCAUCGUCUGUGCGUGUGUUGACGGUAGCUGGAUAAGAAGCGACGGCUAACUACGUG